RNAcentral lists this ribosomal RNA (465 nucleotides) under uncultured bacterium. RNAcentral describes it as "partial 16S ribosomal RNA". It matches the Rfam family "Bacterial small subunit ribosomal RNA", at positions 338 to 795 of the family's 1533-position model. The record is from RNAcentral.
CCUACGGGUGGCAGCAGUGGGGAAUAUUGCGCAAUGGGCGAAAGCCUGACGCAGCGACGCCGCGUGAGGGAUGAAGGUCUUCGGAUCGUAAACCUCUGUCAGCAGGGAAGAACGGUCACUGUGCUAAUCAGCAGUGAAUUGACGGUACCUGCAAAGGAAGCACCGGCUAACUCCGUGCCAGCAGCCGCGGUAAUACGGAGGGUGCGAGCGUUAAUCGGAAUUACUGGGCGUAAAGCGCUCGUAGGCGGUAUGUCAAGUCAAGGGUGAAAUCCCCGGGCUCAACGUGGGAACUGCCUUUGAAAUUGGCAGACUGGAGUGUGUGAGAGGAUAGUGGAAUUCCAGGUGUAGGGGUGAAAUCCGUAGAUAUCUGGAGGAACAUCAGUGGCGAAGGCGACUAUCUGGCACAAAACUGACGCUGAGGAGCGAAAGCGUGGGUAGCAAACAGGAUUAGAUACCCCUGUAGUC